This is a long non-coding RNA of Syzygium oleosum, 3484 nucleotides long. RefSeq lists it as uncharacterized. The transcript is spliced from 4 exons. The record is from RefSeq and is a predicted model, not a curated record. Lineage: Eukaryota; Viridiplantae; Streptophyta; Magnoliopsida; Myrtales; Myrtaceae.
UACAAGUACGGUUGAGUUGGAAAGCAUUCGAUCGAGUCCUCAACUUUUCUGGUUUCUCGCGAUCAGGUCCUUAAAACUCUAUUGAAGAAGUGCCAAAAUCCAGUUCGGAGGACGGAGACGAAGAUCGAAUCGAUCGUGUCCGAUCGGCUCGAUCGCGCGUCGACGUCGGUGAUCGGUGCCGUCGCCGGAGCAUUUUGAUCGGAGCGGAGCCGAGCGAGGUCAUCUUCCGUGCGCGCGAGAUGAUGAUGAUGACUGGCUCGAAACUCGUCGAGCAACUCAGAGACUACCAUCUCCGGUCUCGCCGCAGUGGCCCUCGCCUCUCGCUCCCUUCCCUCCCAAACCCCCCACAUCACCACCCGUGCCGUUGGUCCCGUUGUUCCCAGUGCAUUAGAUGAUCGGCAUCGUUCGCGACGGUGAAAUAUUGACCUUUCCGGUGGUCCUUGGUAAGAGAUUGCUGAAGAGACGUAGGAUGAAAGAGCACCCUGAAUGAGCUCCACACUCGUGAAUUCCAAGAUGGAAAUGGUGUUUAGCAUGCUCGUCGGGCUGACGUAUCUGACGUUUCGUUGCGGUCAUUUCUGGCUGUCCUUGACUGCAUGCCUCGGAAACUUUCUACUUGUAUGCCUCCGAAAAUCGAGGCACGCUCUGGCCAGAAAAAAGGAGACAAGAUUACCUCUGUCCCAGUGAGCGUAGAUUAAGUAUUUUGACAUGAAACCUUCUAACUUGGUCAAGGAGUUUUGGUUACUCUCAAUCGACUUGAGCAAAUUGGCGAAUACGUCCUCGGUGCACAUAAUGUCAGAAACCCAGUUAUGAUCUGGAAAGGAAGAAGUACAAGCCUACCUUAUGCAAUCCCUUGGAAGCUGAGGAUGUGGAGAUGAUAGGAUGGCUCGAGAAAUCUUUGACAAUAAUUGGCUCAAGUAUUUGUGCCAGGUAGUUUUGAAUUAUUAUCCUAAGAAACUUCACCAAGGGGGCAGAUACUAUACCAGUAAGCCAUGUGCUGUUUGAAGGCUAAUGUUCUGCCAAGCCUUCUUAUGAAUGACUAAUCAAUGACACACACACAUGCUCACGGUGACAACUAGUCAUUCUAAGACCAAUUUCUAAUCCAUUAAUUUAUUUAUUAUUGGUUCAAAUGUCUCUUUUCCUUUGCUCCUCCUGCUGUUUGGUAGUCAGAGUUUGUAUGCCUGAGAGUAUGUUUGCUAUUUUUACCACUCUCUCUUCUGGAGAGACAAGUUUCACAUUCCGUUCUACUUUGGUCUUUUUACUGGUAAUGUUCUACUCUCAUGUUUCUGAGGCAAUGAUUGGACUAAUUCCUUUUGGAGACAGGUCCUUGCUAGCUGUACUUGGGAUUAUCAAUGCUUAAUCCACUUGAUACUUCUCUCCUUUGCAACAUCAUGUUUAUUCAGACUUGGAUCGGUUCACAAACUCUUUGGCGCUGUGUGCUACGCAUUCUUUUAUCGUUCUUAAAAAGGACGAAUUGCAUCAGUUUGGUCCAUCUCGUGCUGCCCUAGUACUACAGUUUUAUAGGGUUAUCGUUUCAAUCGAUUCGGUUAGUUCAUUUGAUUGCAGAAAAUUUUACAUGCUUUUCAACUAGAAAGAGUGGGUUUGAUUUGAUGGAUGUCAGUUGCAAAUAUUCACAAUCGUUGUAGAGGAGUUCGCUCACUAGGCAUACAUUGAAAAGCAAACCUUGGACCUGAAAUUUGUAAUCCAAUGAUGGAAGCAUCUUCUUUAAACUGGUGGAAUGUGCAGCUCUCAUCAUGUGAUUGUCCUGGAUCAAAUUAGACACCGGCUAGAAGUCAGAAGAGAAGCUACCUCAAUAGGAAGAAGAAGAGCAGAAGGGAGAAGAUAUCCCGAAGCCUUAAAGCGCUGUUUCAGCUCAGAGCAUUGAUUCCCCUGGAACCUCUAUUCCAUAAAGAAAGCAGGCAAACUCAAAGCAUUCGGUCUCCCAUUCUUUAGGUCAAGAUUUAGACUGCUAAGUUGUUUGUCAGUAUUUGAGUGACUUAAUGAUACCCUUGUAGCUUUAGACAGUUUUGCCUAUUGCCAGUCAUGUACAAUAUAGUCAAUGUUGCUGUGUUAUUGCAGCUUAAGCGUUGUGAUUUGCUUACUCCCCUAUCCUGGUCUUCUUUUGUAGCUGUUACGCGUUUAUCCAAUCACAUGGCCGUGCUGUCGUGUAACCGCUUGAAUUACCUUAGGAUUUUUGGUUAGUUUUUCAUGCAUGCUUUUGUUCCUAUGGCUAUAUUUUGGGCUAUAAUGUUUGCCAUAUUUGUGUCAUCAUCAGUGACAUUUAGGUGUUUCUGUCUAUUCUUUUCUAUUGCAUGCCUUGGAACCUUGCUACUUGUACAAGCUCACUCUCCAGUCACAGGAUUCUUUUUAUUCUAUUCAUCUUUAUGAGCUUUUAUUUUUUGUUUUUUUGAGCAAUUAACAGCUAAAGCUGAAGCCAAUUAAUUUGGCCUAGGUGUCGCUAUAGCAAGGAAGUUCAUUGGCUCACUGAUCAUCUCAUAUAGCCUAUCAGAGUUUGGUACACCCUGGUUUUCUCUUCAUUAUAGUACUUACCUCAGAAUAGUAUCAUAUAUCUAGUAAAGUCUACUGGGCAAUGUCCCGUUAUCUUUCAAUCAGUUUUGUGGGAACUUCGUGAGUAAGUACUCUGUUAAUAGAGUUGGCAUAACACUUACCAGCAAAGUUGUGUCUGGAGAUCCUGCCAAUUUGGAAGGCGUAACAUUUACCCUUUGCUAUUCGUCGAGGUAGAAGAGGACUGACAUGCAAGUUAAAAGCUGACUAAAGUUAUCCCCCAAUUAAGAAAAUCCGAUCCCCGUUGUCAGAUUUUAUCAUUUGUAGAGCAUUCUUUGCAUGCAAGGAAGCAAAAUAUUAGCUUGCACGGUAGCUUAGGUCGUGAAGAUGAUCAGUACUGAAGUCGCUAUGUGGGUAAUAAUAAUUAAUGUUGUGCAUUAUUGAUGUUGAAUAGCUUGCUAUGAGAUACAGAGAAGGUAAAAUCACACCAGUAGCUUGCCUUUUGAAGGUUAAUGUUGUUCUGGGCUUUUUGGUGGGUCUUUCAGUGAACUGCUGUACUGGCUGAAGGCAGCAUAUCCGUUCCUUAUCUGGGGAUAUAAGAGUUAGAUGCAGGCAGAGACACCGAGUCAUCGGAAGAUUGGCUUCCAGUAGCUUUUUAUUAGAUCUAUUAUCGGUCUCGAGUCAUUGGAGAGCUGUGUGUACUUGCUGUCGACAGUCGCUAUUCGUUCUUGGAUGUGCCUGUCAUAUUUAGUCUAUUUAUGUCGUAUAUUUGCUAAUAAUGAAUCUUUUUUCUUAUGUUAUUGAGGCAAAGUAUGGACCAACAUACAAAUAUCAACGAAUUCGGCGGUUUGAAGACCACAAAAAUUCCUCACUUCAUUAUGGUUCGCAGACCCCUCAGGCUGUCAUGAUCCCCUUCUGGACCAUUUCCUUCGUCUUCCUUUACAUAUCGUGCAAACAGCCGAGCUAUGAUCAGGGCAUAAAA